This 74-nucleotide transfer RNA is filed under the name virus sp. ctML55. RNAcentral describes it as "tRNA-Arg". It matches the Rfam family "tRNA". Rfam says of the family: Transfer RNA (tRNA) molecules are approximately 80 nucleotides in length. Their secondary structure includes four short double-helical elements and three loops (D, anti-codon, and T loops). Lineage: Duplodnaviria; Heunggongvirae; Uroviricota; Caudoviricetes; Metacrassvirales; Tripviridae. The record is from RNAcentral.
GUCCCGUUAGCUCAGUUGGAUAGAGCAACAGCCUUCUAAGCUGUGGGUCGUAGGUUCGAAUCCUACACGGGAUA